Molecule: ribosomal RNA, 324 nt
Filed under: Triticum aestivum (bread wheat)
Lineage: Eukaryota; Viridiplantae; Streptophyta; Magnoliopsida; Poales; Poaceae
Description: partial small subunit ribosomal RNA
Source: RNAcentral
AUGGUGGCGCCCAUGGUGAUCGCGUCGGCGGGGCUCCGGAUGCUGGCGGGCGUUGCGAUGGCGAACCGGGGAGACGGGCUGCCGGCGGCGUCCAGGUGGGACGCGCGGCCCCGUUGCUCCACGUGCAGCGGCACCGGCCGGGAGGAGUGCCUCUGCAGCCGUUGGUCCGACGGCGACGUCGGCUGCGGGACGUGCUCUGGGUCUGGCCGCAAGCGGUGCCGCAGCUGCGGAGGCUCUGGCACCGGUCGGCCGCUCCCGGCGCGACUCAUCGUCCAGGAGCAGAAGCUGCCAACCCCGCCCGGGCGACGCGGAGACUACAACUGA